AACGAACGCUGGCGGCGGGGUUUAGGCAUGCAAGUCGCGCGAGAAAGGGGCGAACCCGAGUACAGCGGCGCAAGGGUGAGUAAGAGUUCGUCAACGUACCUUCCUGACGCGGAUAAUUCCUCGAAAGGGGUUGGUAAUACGCGAUGAGACCACGCGCCUUCCGGGGCGANAGGUCAAAGGUCGGGGAUCCUUCGGGACCUGGCGCAGGGA
Molecule: ribosomal RNA, 210 nt
Filed under: uncultured bacterium
Lineage: Bacteria
Description: partial 16S ribosomal RNA
Rfam family: Bacterial small subunit ribosomal RNA
Source: RNAcentral